Molecule: ribosomal RNA, 407 nt
Filed under: uncultured bacterium
Lineage: Bacteria
Description: partial 16S ribosomal RNA
Rfam family: Bacterial small subunit ribosomal RNA
Source: RNAcentral
AUUGAACGCUGGCGGCAGGCCUAACACAUGCAAGUCGAGCGGAGCGGCGGACGGGUGAGUAUUGCCUAGGUAUCUGCCUGUUAGUGGGGGAUCACUUCCGGUAACGGGCGCUAUUACUGCAUCCUAUCACAUUAGGCUCGGUCGGAUUAGCUAGUUGGUGGGGUAAAGGCCUACCAAGGCGACGAUCCGUAACUGGUCGGAGAGGAUGAUCAGUCACACUGGAACUGAGACAAGGUCCAGAAGCCUACGGGAGGCAGCAGUGGGGAAUAUUGGACAAUGGGCGAAAGACUGAUCCAGCCAUGCCGCGUGUGUGAAGAAGGUCUUCGGAUUGUAAAGCACUUUAAGUUGGGAGGCGUUACCAACAGAAUAAGCACCGGCUAACUCCGUGCCAGCAGCCGCGGUAAUAC